RNAcentral lists this transfer RNA (86 nucleotides) under Dictyoglomota bacterium. RNAcentral describes it as "Dictyoglomi bacterium (hydrothermal vent metagenome) tRNA-Tyr". It matches the Rfam family "tRNA". Rfam says of the family: Transfer RNA (tRNA) molecules are approximately 80 nucleotides in length. Their secondary structure includes four short double-helical elements and three loops (D, anti-codon, and T loops). Further hydrogen bonds mediate the characteristic L-shaped molecular structure. tRNAs have two regions of fundamental functional importance: the anti-codon, which is responsible for specific mRNA codon recognition, and the 3' end, to which the tRNAs corresponding amino acid is attached (by aminoacyl-tRNA synthetases). tRNAs cope with the degeneracy of the genetic code in two manners: having more than one tRNA (with a specific anti-codon) for a particular amino acid; and 'wobble' base-pairing, i.e. permitting non-standard base-pairing at the 3rd anti-codon position. The record is from RNAcentral. RNAcentral also lists the same sequence under 1 other name. Lineage: Bacteria; Pseudomonadati; Dictyoglomota.
GGGGAGGUCGCCUAGCGGCCAAUGGCACGGGACUGUAAAUCCCGCGGCGAAAGCCUACGCUGGUUCGAAUCCAGCCCUCCCCACCA